AGUGAACGCUGGCGGUAGGCCUAACACAUGCAAGUCGAACGGCAGCACAGUAAGAGCUUGCUCUUACGGGUGGCGAGUGGCGGACGGGUGAGGAAUACAUCGGAAUCUACUUUUUCGUGGGGGAUAACGUAGGGAAACUUACGCUAAUACCGCAUACGACCUACGGGUGAAAGCAGGGGAUCUUCGGACCUUGCGCGAUUGGAUGAGCCGAUGUCGGAUUAGCUAGUUGGCGGGGUAAAGGCCCACCAAGGCGACGAUCCGUAGCUGGUCUGAGAGGAUGGUCAGCCACACUGGAACUGAGACACGGUCCAGACUCCUACGGGAGGCAGCAGUGGGGAAUAUUGGACAAUGGGCGCAAGCCUGAUCCAGCCAUACCGCGUGGGUGAAGAAGGCCUUCGGGUUGUAAAGCCCUUUUGUUGGGAAAGAAAAGCAGCAGGUUAAUACCCCGCUGUUCUGACGGUACCCAAAGAAUAAGCACCGGCUAACUUCGUG
Molecule: ribosomal RNA, 492 nt
Filed under: uncultured bacterium
Lineage: Bacteria
Description: partial 16S ribosomal RNA
Rfam family: Bacterial small subunit ribosomal RNA
Source: RNAcentral